CCAAUAGCGUAUAUUAAAGUUGUUGCAGUUAAAAAGCUCGUAGUUGAAUUUCGGGAUCAAUAUAUCGGUCGUGCCUUGGUACGUACUGGUAUCAUUGAUUUCUCCCUUCUGACGAAUCAUGAUGUCAUUAAUUUGGUGUUAUGAGGAGUUAGGACUGUUACUUUGAACAAAUUAGAGUGUUUAAAGCAGGCAUUAGCUUGAAUACAUUAGCAUGGAAUAAUGAAAUAGGACGUUUGACCCUAUUUUGUUGGUUUCUAGGAUCGACGUAAUGAUUAAUAGGGAUAGUUGGGGGCAUUAGUAUUCAAUUGUCAGAGGUGAAAUUCUUGGAUUUAUUGAAGACUAACUACUGCGAAAGCAUUUGCCAAGGAUGUUUUCAUUAAUCAAGAACGAAAGUUAGGGGAUCGAAGACGAUCAGAUACCGUCGUAGUCUUAACCAUAAACUAUGCCGACUAGGGAUCGGAUGAUGUUAAUUUUAUAAUGACUCAUUCGGCGCCUUACG
Molecule: ribosomal RNA, 499 nt
Filed under: uncultured Glomeromycotina
Lineage: Eukaryota; Fungi; Glomeromycota
Description: partial small subunit ribosomal RNA
Rfam family: Eukaryotic small subunit ribosomal RNA
Source: RNAcentral